Molecule: ribosomal RNA, 468 nt
Filed under: uncultured bacterium
Lineage: Bacteria
Description: partial 16S ribosomal RNA
Rfam family: Bacterial small subunit ribosomal RNA
Source: RNAcentral
GACGAACGCUGGCGGCGUGCUUAACACAUGCAAGUCGAACGGAAAGGCCCUGCUUUUGUGGGGUGCUCGAGUGGCGAACGGGUGAGUAACACGUGAGUAACCUGCCCUUGACUUUGGGAUAACUUCAGGAAACUGGGGCUAAUACCGGAUAGGAGCUCCUGCUGCAUGGUGGGGGUUGGAAAGUUUCGGCGGUUGGGGAUGGACUCGCGGCUUAUCAGCUUGUUGGUGGGGUAGUGGCUUACCAAGGCUUUGACGGGUAGCCGGCCUGAGGGGGUGACCGGCCACAUUGGGACUGAGAUACGGCCCAGACUCCUACGGGAGGCAGCAGUGGGGAAUAUUGCACAAUGGGCGGAAGCCUGAUGCAGCAACGCCGCGUGCGGGAUGGCGGCCUUCGGGUUGUAAACCGCUUUCGCCUGUGACGAAGCGUGAGUGACGGUAAUGGGUAAAGAAGCACCGGCUAACUACGUG